This 45-nucleotide non-coding RNA is filed under the name Trypanosoma brucei brucei. Lineage: Eukaryota; Euglenozoa; Kinetoplastea; Trypanosomatida; Trypanosomatidae. The record is from RNAcentral.
AGACAACAAGUGCUUAUUACGAUAGAUACUGAUGUAAUUUAAUUA